UACGUAGGGACCAAGCGUUGUCCGGAAUCAUUGGGCGUAAAGAGCGUGUAGGCGGCUUGUUAAGUCUUGCGUGAAAUCUCGGGGCUCAACCCCGAGCGGUCGUGAGAAACUGGCAGGCUAGAGUGCGGGAGAGGAGAGUGGAAUUCCACGUGUAGCAGUGAAAUGCGUAGAGAUGUGGAGGAACACCGAUGGCGAAGGCAGCCCCCUGGGCUAACACUGACGCUCAUGCACGAAAGCGUGGGGAGCAAACAGG
Molecule: ribosomal RNA, 253 nt
Filed under: uncultured bacterium
Lineage: Bacteria
Description: partial 16S ribosomal RNA
Rfam family: Bacterial small subunit ribosomal RNA
Source: RNAcentral